UGUACCAUAUAUCCACGUCAACUCUCAAAGGGGAAAGGUGGUCGUACGUUAGGAGGGGUUUUCUCUCAAAGAACCAAGAAAGAAGAAGAGAGGGGACCAGAGAAUGGUUAAGAGAUGAAUAAGCUUGCAGAAGAAGAGGAUCAAGAAGGGAAACUGAGGGUUUCACAAAUAGAAAAUUGCAAGGAGAGUGAAGGUUGCACAGAGAGAAAUUGCAGGGUCAGAGAGGGGUUUCACGACAGGUUCGUAUUCGUCUUCUACCUUCCAUUUUUCUUUCCUGGCAUCGACAGGCAACGAUCGUUCAGAUGCUCUCAUCAACAAGAACAUGAGAAAGCAUUUGGGCCUAUGAAUGCAAAGCUGGAUAGAGAGUGGGGAUAAAUUGGAGUUUUUUAUGAUAUCUCAUUGAGAAACCAAAAACCCGUUUGUUUGUCGAAUAAGAUGACGAAGGACAAUGCAAUUCAGAAUGUAAGACGAUAGAAUGGGGCUUGUCAGGAGAUGAUUGUGAUUUUGGAUUCAUAGUUUCAUCUGGAAGAUUUCAGGAGGUGCUUGUAGCAAAGAAACAAUAGAUAAAAAUAGGACUCUUUGUCCAAUAUUUGUACUAAUUUUGGUGCAUCCAUAUAUGAUGAUGUUGAACAUUUGCAAGGUACAACCUUUAAUGUCACAGAUGUAUGAUAUGUCCAAAGACUACUCUGACCACAAUCAUUAAUUGUUUUGUUUGAAA
Molecule: long non-coding RNA, 718 nt
Organism: Macadamia integrifolia
Lineage: Eukaryota; Viridiplantae; Streptophyta; Magnoliopsida; Proteales; Proteaceae
Exons: 5
Source: RefSeq, a predicted model, not a curated record